Long non-coding RNA from Poecilia latipinna (sailfin molly), 1275 nucleotides. RefSeq lists it as uncharacterized. NCBI's taxonomy places the organism in Eukaryota, Metazoa, Chordata, Actinopteri, Cyprinodontiformes, Poeciliidae. The transcript is spliced from 3 exons. The record is from RefSeq and is a predicted model, not a curated record.
CAGGGUGAGGCAUGCCAGGGCAAAGGAGGAUGCACUGGGCAGGGGGAUGAACGUCCCAGUGGAGGAGGCGGUGGUGGCUGUUCUGAGGAGAAAGGCAUGCAGAGAGCCAGGCACCCUAAGGAGGAUGUUCUCGAGUCGAGGAACCUAAUCUUUCCCAGCAGGGAUCGAAGCAGCUCUGGGCAUUGACAGUCACUCACCAGGCAAUGACUGUCACGUCGGCGCAAAGAGCCAGCCGUCGACAGGGGCCGACCACAUCAAACGAGGCUGUCAGGGGGCCCUGCUUGUGAACUGUGGCAACAAACACCUCCUGAUCCUCACCUACAGCUCAAGAACAGACACCCGCUGCUGUGCUUCCAGCCACUGCCUCCGCUGAGAAAAGAUGUUCUGUCCGGACCUCAUUUCCUCCUCCGCUGCACCCCUCCCAGCGACCACCACCUUCCCUUGUCUCUCCCCCUCUCUGUCAAGUAGUGCUUGUGCUAACCUCCCGUCUGCUGACACACAAAGGCUCACUAAAGUGGGUUUGAUGAGUGCACGUGAAGGGAAGGCCGGUGCUGCUGGAGGUCAGAAAGUGUACAGGAUGUGAAGAACAUAGUACAGUUUUACUGUCAAUUUGAAUUAGAGUCACAUUUGAUUUUUAACUUUUUUGGGUUGCGACUUUAAAAGUCACAGGGUGAAAGGAGGGGAUGUAUUUCAACAGGUUGCGACAAGUACUCUUUUCUGGAUUAUCUACAACUUUUUUUUUUUUUUUUAGCUUUGUAGUGAUGGUUCACACUUAAAGUCAGUUCUUUAACUGGGUUAAAAAGAUGUUUCUGUCUUCAGAAAAAUAUAUCAGGCAUUGUAAGAUUCCUCUAUUAACAAUAAUAAAACAUUUUACAAAAUGAAUUGAAAUUAAAAUUAAUCAAAAUUAAAAUUGUGGCAACUACUGUAUUACCCUCCAAUCAAAGCAUAGUCAUUGCUAUUAUAUACAUAUAAAAAAAAAAAAAAUAAAAAAAAAUGUUUUCAUGGCAUCUUUUUGGCCAAUCAAUAAAGAAUAGGGUCUUGAUGUCUUCUUCAGAUUACAUACUUUAAAAGCAUAUUUGUGCUGUGAUUAUAAUGACAGAUAAAAUAUAGUCCCUAAAAAAAGACCAAAUUAAACCACCACUGUCAUUGAUUUUUCCAGGAAAUGUUUGUAAAGCCUAACCCAGAACUCAGGCAAACUAUUCCUUUAAUCAAACAAAUGAAUAUGUUUGAAGUGUACAUCAUAGCACUCUGUGUAUAUUUCUAUGCAUGUCUUAG